Molecule: transfer RNA, 80 nt
Filed under: Phakopsora pachyrhizi
Lineage: Eukaryota; Fungi; Basidiomycota; Pucciniomycetes; Pucciniales; Phakopsoraceae
Description: tRNA-Ala
Rfam family: tRNA
About the family: Transfer RNA (tRNA) molecules are approximately 80 nucleotides in length. Their secondary structure includes four short double-helical elements and three loops (D, anti-codon, and T loops).
Source: RNAcentral
GGGGUGUUAGCUCAUAUGGUAGAGCGCUCGCUUCGCAUGUCGUCUGCGAGAGGCACGGGGUUCGAUUCCCCGAUACUCCA